ACCAGACUUUUCCUAGUCCCUGAGACCCUAACUUGUGAGGUAUUUUAGUAACAUCACAAGUCAGGCUCUUGGGACCUAGGCGGAGGGG
Molecule: microRNA precursor, 88 nt
Filed under: Peromyscus maniculatus bairdii (prairie deer mouse)
Lineage: Eukaryota; Metazoa; Chordata; Mammalia; Rodentia; Cricetidae
Description: miRNA (ENSPEMG00000001165.2)
Rfam family: lin-4 microRNA precursor family (bases 11-80)
About the family: The extents of the hairpin precursors are not generally known and are estimated based on hairpin prediction. The products are thought to have regulatory roles through complementarity to mRNA. The involvement of Dicer in miRNA processing suggests a relationship with the phenomenon of RNA interference.
Source: RNAcentral